RNAcentral lists this unclassified non-coding RNA (272 nucleotides) under Glomus sp. RNAcentral's name for it is "partial contains 5.8S ribosomal RNA and internal transcribed spacer 2". The stretch from base 1 to 65 matches the Rfam family "5.8S ribosomal RNA", at positions 84 to 154 of the family's 154-position model. The record is from RNAcentral. Lineage: Eukaryota; Fungi; Glomeromycota; Glomeromycetes; Glomerales; Glomeraceae.
GUGAAUCAUCAAAUGUUUGAACGCAAAUUGCACUCUCCUCAGAGAGUAUGCCUGUUUGAGGGUCAGCCUAUAAAAAUCGACAUCGUUGCGGCUUCGCGGUGGCGUUCGUCGGAGAUUGGGUCAUCUUAAAUCCGUUUGAUUUAAGCGACUUGAAGUUUUCUUUUGGUUCCAUUGACGUUUCUAAGAUCUAUUGCGUUACACGUUUAAGGUAUCAAUUUUUACUAGACGUGACCAUCGUAUCGGAUCGCGUCCAUGAACGUUCAUUAACUGAC